This 957-nucleotide ribosomal RNA is filed under the name uncultured bacterium NoosaAW70. RNAcentral's name for it is "bacterial SSU rRNA". It matches the Rfam family "Bacterial small subunit ribosomal RNA", at positions 312 to 1298 of the family's 1533-position model. The record is from RNAcentral. Lineage: Bacteria; Candidatus Saccharimonadota.
ACUGGAACUGAGACACGGUCCAGACUCCUACGGGAGGCAGCAGUAAGGAAUCUUCCACAAUGGGCGAAAGCCUGAUGGAGCAACGCCGCGUGCAGGAUGAAGGCCCUCGGGUCGUAAACUGCUUUUAUGAGUGAAGAAUAUGACGGUAACUCAUGAAUAAGCACCGGCUAACUACGUGCCAGCAGCCGCGGUCAUACGUAGGGUGCAAGCAUUAUCCGGAGUGACUGGGCGUAAAGAGUUGCGUAGGUGGUUAGUAAAGUGAAUAGUGAAACCUGGUGGCUCAACCAUACAGACUAUUAUUCAAACUCACUAACUCGAGAGUGGUAGAGGUAACUGGAAUUUCUUGUGUAGGAGUGAAAUCCGUAGAUAUAAGAAGGAACACCAAUGGCGUAGGCAGGUUACUGGACCAUUUCUGACACUAAGGCACGAAAGCGUGGGGAGCGAACCGGAUUAGAUACCCGGGUAGUCCACGCCGUAAACGAUGGAUACUAGCUGUUGGAGGUAUCGACCCCUUCAGUAGCGAGGCUAACGCGUUAAGUAUCCCGCCUGUGGAGUACGGUCGCAAGACUAAAACAUAAAGGAAUUGACGGGGAUCAGCACAAGCGGUGGAUUAUGUUCUUUAAUUCGAUGAUAACCGAUGAACCUUACCAGGGUUUGACAUCCAGGGAAGCACUACGAAAGUAGCGUGUGCCUUUUGGAACCCUGUGACAGGUGUUGCAUGGCCGUCGUCAGCUCGUGUCGUGAGAUGUUUGGUUAAGUCCAUCAACGAGCGCAACCCUUGUGAAUAGUUGUAUUUUUCUAUUCAGACUGCUCUAGUAAUAGGGAGGAAGGAGGGGAUGAUGUCAGGUCAGUAUUACCCUUACACCCUGGGCUAGAAACAUAAUACAAUGGCCGGUACAAUGCGCAGCGAAACAGCAAUGUGGAGCAAAUCGCAUCAAAGCCGGUCCCAGUUCGGAU